This 375-nucleotide long non-coding RNA is filed under the name Homo sapiens (human). RNAcentral describes it as "uncharacterized LOC105372753, transcript variant 7 (LOC105372753)". The record is from RNAcentral. Lineage: Eukaryota; Metazoa; Chordata; Mammalia; Primates; Hominidae.
AUUGCCUGCUGCCAUGUAAGGUGUGGCUUUGCUCACUCAUUACCUUCCACCAUGAUUGUGAGGCCUCCUCAGUGAUGUGGAACUGUUCAGCAGCCAGAGUCCUAUCCUGUACUUCUCUUCACGUUGCAGACAUCCACGAAAGAGUGAGACUGUUUUCGGUUGGAUUGAAGAGCAAAUGUGUGGAAGGCACCAAGAGACAGGAUCUCACUAUGUUUCCCAAGUUGGUCUUGAACUUCUGGCCUCAAGCAAUUCUCUUGCCUUGGCCUCCCAAAAUUCUGGAAUUAUAGGCAUGAGUCACCAGAAACGGCCCACUUUAUUUACUUCUGUGAUGCCUAUACAUUGUGUUAUCAAUAAAACUUGAGAUUCUGUAACUGA